CACGUAGUUAGCCGUGGCUUUCUGAUUAGGUACCGUCAAGAUGUGCACAGUUACUUACGCAUUUGUUCUUCCCUAAUAACAGAGUUUUACGAGCCGAAACCCUUCAUCACUCACGCGGCGUUGCUCCGUCAGGCUUUCGCCCAUUGCGGAAGAUUCCCUACUGCUGCCUCCCGUAGGAGUCUGGACCGUGUCUCAGUUCCAGUGUGGCCGAUCACCCUCUCAGGUCGGCUACGUAUCGUCGCCUUGGUAAGCCGUUACCUUACCAACUAGCUAAUACGGCGCGGGUCCAUCUAUAAGUGAUAGCAAAACCAUCUUUCACUUUAGAACCAUGCGGUUCUAAAUGUUAUCCGGUAUUAGCUCCGGUUUCCCGAAGUUAUCCCAGUCUUAUAGGUAGGUUACCCACGUGUUACUCACCCGUCCGCCGCUAACUUCAAAGGAGCAAGCUCCUUAUCUGUUCGCUCGACUUGCAUGUAUUAGGCACGCCGCCAGCGUUCAUCCUGAGCCAGGAUCAAACUCU
RNAcentral lists this ribosomal RNA (517 nucleotides) under uncultured Staphylococcus sp. RNAcentral's name for it is "partial 16S ribosomal RNA". The record is from RNAcentral. Lineage: Bacteria; Bacillati; Bacillota; Bacilli; Caryophanales; Staphylococcaceae.